GAUGAACGCUGGCGGCGUGCCUAAUACAUGCAAGUCGAGCGAACGGACGAGAAGCUUGUUGCUCUGAUGUUAGCGGCGGACGGGUGAGUAAUACGUGGAUAACCUACCUAUAAGACUGGGAUAACUUCGGGAAACCGUAGCUAAUACCGGAUAAUAUUUUGAACCGCAUGGUUCAAAAGUGAAAGACGGUCUUGCUGUCACUUAUAGAUGGAUCCGCGCUGCAUUAGCUAGUUGGUAAGGUAACGGCUUACCAAGGCAACGAUGCAUAGCCGACCUGAGAGGGGGGUCGGCCGCACUGGAAGUGAGACGCGGCCCAGCCUCCUACGGGAGGAAGCAGUAGGGGAGCUUCCGCAAUGGGCGAAAGCCUGACGGAGCAACGCCGCGUGAGUGAUGAAGGUCUUCGGAUCGUAAAAAUCUGUUAUUAGGAAAGAACAUAUGUGUAAGUGACUGUGCACAUCUUGACGGUACCUAAUUAGGAAGCGACGGCUAACUACGUG
RNAcentral lists this ribosomal RNA (497 nucleotides) under uncultured bacterium. RNAcentral's name for it is "partial 16S ribosomal RNA". It matches the Rfam family "Bacterial small subunit ribosomal RNA", at positions 28 to 507 of the family's 1533-position model. The record is from RNAcentral.